GAUGAACGCUGGCGGCGUGCCUAAUACAUGCAAGUCGAGCGAACAGACGAGGAGCUUGCUCCUCUGACGUUAGCGGCGGACGGGUGAGUAACACGUGGAUAACCUACCUAUAAGACUGGGAUAACUUCGGGAAACCGGAGCUAAUACCGGAUAAUAUAUUGUACCGCAUGGUUCAAUAGUGAAAGACGGUUUUGCUGUCACUUAUAGAUGGAUCCGCGCCGCAUUAGCUAGUUGGUAAGGUAACGGCUUACCAAGGCAACGAUGCGUAGCCGACCUGAGAGGGUGAUCGGCCACACUGGAACUGAGACACGGUCCAGACUCCUACGGGAGGCAGCAGUAGGGAAUCUUGCGCAAUGGGCGAAAGCCUGACGGAGCAACACCGCGUGGGUGAUGAAGGUCUUCGGAUCGUAAAACUCUGUUGUUAGGGAAGAACAAAUGUGUAAGUAACUAUGCACGUCUUGACGGUACCUAAUCAGAAAGCCCCGGCUAACUACGUG
This 497-nucleotide ribosomal RNA is filed under the name uncultured bacterium. Its description in RNAcentral is "partial 16S ribosomal RNA". It matches the Rfam family "Bacterial small subunit ribosomal RNA", at positions 28 to 507 of the family's 1533-position model. The record is from RNAcentral.